RNAcentral lists this transfer RNA (77 nucleotides) under Dichelobacter nodosus. RNAcentral describes it as "tRNA-Pro(ggg)". It matches the Rfam family "tRNA". Rfam says of the family: Transfer RNA (tRNA) molecules are approximately 80 nucleotides in length. Their secondary structure includes four short double-helical elements and three loops (D, anti-codon, and T loops). Further hydrogen bonds mediate the characteristic L-shaped molecular structure. tRNAs have two regions of fundamental functional importance: the anti-codon, which is responsible for specific mRNA codon recognition, and the 3' end, to which the tRNAs corresponding amino acid is attached (by aminoacyl-tRNA synthetases). tRNAs cope with the degeneracy of the genetic code in two manners: having more than one tRNA (with a specific anti-codon) for a particular amino acid; and 'wobble' base-pairing, i.e. permitting non-standard base-pairing at the 3rd anti-codon position. RNAcentral also lists the same sequence under 1 other name. The record is from RNAcentral. Lineage: Bacteria; Pseudomonadati; Pseudomonadota; Gammaproteobacteria; Cardiobacteriales; Cardiobacteriaceae.
CGGGGUAUAGCGCAGUCUGGUAGCGCACUUGCAUGGGGUGCAAGGGGUCGCAGGUUCAAAUCCUGUUACCCCGACCA